This 500-nucleotide ribosomal RNA is filed under the name uncultured bacterium. RNAcentral's name for it is "partial 16S ribosomal RNA". It matches the Rfam family "Bacterial small subunit ribosomal RNA", at positions 30 to 523 of the family's 1533-position model. The record is from RNAcentral.
AUUGAACGCUAGCGGGAUGACUUACACAUGCACGUCGAACGGCAGCGCGGACUUCGGUCUGGCGGCGAGUGGCGAACGGGUGAGUAACGUAUCGGAACGUGCCCAGUAGCGGGGGAUAACUACUCGAAAGAGUAGCUAAUACCGCAUACGCCCUACGGGGGACAGGGGGGGAGCGCAAGACCUAUCACUAUUGGAGCGGCCGAUAACGGGUUAGCUAGUUGGUGAGGUAAAGGCUCACCAAGGCGACGAUCCGUAGCUGGUUUGAGAGGACGACCAGCCACACUGGGACUGAGACACGGCCCAGACUCCUACGGGAGGCAGCAGUGGGGAAUUUUGGACAAUGGGGGCAACCCUGAUCCAGCCAUUCCGCGUGUGCGAUGAAGGCCUUCGGGUUGUAAAGCACUUUUGGCAGGAAAGAAAUCGCACGGAUUAAUACUCUGUGUGGAUGACGGUACCUGCAGAAUAAGCACCGGCUAACUACGUGCCAGCCGCCGCGGUAA